CCUACGGGUGGCAGCAGUGAGGAAUAUUGGUCAAUGGGCUUACUCCUGAACCAGCCAAGUCGCGUGAGGGAAGACUGCCCUAUGGGUUGUAAACCUCUUUUGUCAGGGAGCAACGCCGGCUACGUGUAGCCGGAAUGAGAGUACCUUAAGAAAAAGCAUCGGCUAACUCCGUGCCAGCAGCCGCGGUAAUCCGGAGGAUGCGAGCGUUAUCCGGAUUUAUGGGUUUUAAGGGGUGCGUAGGCGGAAUGCCAAGUCAGCGGUAAAAUCGCGGGGCUCAACCUCGCCGCGCCGUUGAAACUGGCGUACUUGAGUGAGCGAGAAGUACGCGGAAUGCGUGGUGUAGCGGUGAAAUGCAUAGAUAUCACGCAGAACGCCGAUUGCGAAGGCAGCAUACCGGCGCCAAACUGACGCUGAAGCACGAAAGCGUGGGGAUCGAACAGGAUUAGAUACCCCGGUAGUC
RNAcentral lists this ribosomal RNA (460 nucleotides) under uncultured bacterium. RNAcentral describes it as "partial 16S ribosomal RNA". It matches the Rfam family "Bacterial small subunit ribosomal RNA", at positions 338 to 795 of the family's 1533-position model. The record is from RNAcentral.